This 279-nucleotide ribosomal RNA is filed under the name uncultured bacterium. RNAcentral describes it as "partial 16S ribosomal RNA". It matches the Rfam family "Bacterial small subunit ribosomal RNA", at positions 506 to 784 of the family's 1533-position model. The record is from RNAcentral.
GGCCAGCAGCCGCGGUAAUACGGAGGGAUCGAGCGUUGCUCGGAAUUACUGGGCGUAAAGGGCGCGUAGGCGGUCUUGUAUGUCGGGCGUGAAAGCCCCGGGCUCAACCCGGGAUGUGCGUCCGAAACUGCAAGACUAGAGUCUCGGAGAGGGAGGUGGAAUUUCAAGUGUAGAGGUGAAAUUCGUAGAUAUUUGGAGGAACACCAGUGGCGAAGGCGGCUCACUGGCUCGAUACUGACGCUGAGGUACGAAAGUGUGGGGAGCAAACAGGAUUAGAUA